GACGAACGCUGGCGGCGUGCCUAGUACAUGCAAGUAGAACGCUGAAGAGAGGAGCUUGCUCUUCUUGGGUGAGUUGCGAACGGGUGAGUAACGCGUAGGUAACCUGCCUUGUAGCGGGGGAUAACUAUUGGAAACGAUAGCUAAUACCGCAUAACAAUGGAUGACACAUGUCAUUUAUUUGAAAGGGGCAAUUGCUCCACUACAAGAUGGACCUGCGUUGUGUUAGGUAGUAGGUGAGGUAAUGGCUCACCUAGGCGACGAUACAUAGCCGACCUGGGGGGGUGAUCGGCCCCACUUGGACUGAGACACGGCCCAGACCCCUACGGGAGGGAGCAGGAGGGAAUCUUUGGCAAUGGGGGCAACCCUGACCGAACCACGCCGCGUGGGGGAAGGAGGUUUUCGGAUCGGAAAGCUCUGUUGUAAGUCAAGAACGGGUGUGAGAGUGGAAAGUUCACACUGUGACGGUAGCUUAACAGAAAGGGACGGCUAACUACGUG
This 497-nucleotide ribosomal RNA is filed under the name uncultured bacterium. Its description in RNAcentral is "partial 16S ribosomal RNA". It matches the Rfam family "Bacterial small subunit ribosomal RNA", at positions 28 to 507 of the family's 1533-position model. The record is from RNAcentral.